Molecule: unclassified non-coding RNA, 283 nt
Organism: Colobus angolensis palliatus
Lineage: Eukaryota; Metazoa; Chordata; Mammalia; Primates; Cercopithecidae
Rfam family: Metazoan signal recognition particle RNA
About the family: The signal recognition particle (SRP) is a universally conserved ribonucleoprotein. It is involved in the co-translational targeting of proteins to membranes.
Source: Ensembl
GCCAGGAGUGGUGGCACGCACCUGUAGUCCCUACUACUUGGGAAGCUGAGGUGGGAAGAUUGCUUGAGCCCAGGAGUUCUGGGUUAUGAUGACUGAGUGUCUGCACUAAGCUUGGCAUCAAUAUGGUGACCUCUUGGGAGUGGGGGACCACCAGGUUACCUAAGAAGAGGUGAACCAGCUCAGGUCGGAAACUAAGCAGGUCAAAACUCAUGGGCUGAUCAGUAGUAAGAUCACCCCUGUGAAAAGCCACUGUAAUCCAGCCUGAGCAACACAGCGAGACCCU